This 465-nucleotide ribosomal RNA is filed under the name uncultured bacterium. RNAcentral describes it as "partial 16S ribosomal RNA". It matches the Rfam family "Bacterial small subunit ribosomal RNA", at positions 28 to 507 of the family's 1533-position model. The record is from RNAcentral.
GACGAACGCUGGCGGCGUGCUUAACACAUGCAAGUCGAACGGAAAGGCCCUGCUUGCAGGGUACUCGAGUGGCGAACGGGUGAGUAACACGUGGGUGAUCUGCCCUGCACUUCGGGAUAAGCCUGGGAAACUGGGUCUAAUACCGGAUAGGAGCCAUUUUUAGUGUGAUGGUUGGAAAGUUUUUUCGGUGUAGGAUGAGCUCGCGGCCUAUCAGCUUGUUGGUGGGGUAAUGGCCUACCAAGGCGGCGACGGGUAGCCGGCCUGAGAGGGUGGUCGGCCACAUUGGGACUGAGAUACGGCCCAGACUCCUACGGGAGGCAGCAGUGGGGAAUAUUGCACAAUGGGCGCAAGCCUGAUGCAGCGACGCCGCGUGGGGGAUGACGGCCUUCGGGUUGUAAACUCCUUUCGCUAGGGACGAAGCUUUUUGUGACGGUACCUAGAUAAGAAGCACCGGCUAACUACGUG